This 461-nucleotide ribosomal RNA is filed under the name uncultured bacterium. RNAcentral describes it as "bacterial SSU rRNA". It matches the Rfam family "Bacterial small subunit ribosomal RNA", at positions 38 to 507 of the family's 1533-position model. The record is from RNAcentral.
GGCGGCGCGCCUAACACAUGCAAGUCGAACGGNGACAUUCUUAGCUUGCUUUGAAUGUCUUAGUGGCGGACGGGUGAGUAACACGUGAGCAACCUGCCUUUCAGAGGGGGAUAACGUUCGGAAACGAACGCUAAUACCGCAUAAUGUAUACGGACGGCAUCGUCUGUAUACCAAAGGAGCAAUCCGCUGAAAGAUGGGCCCGCGUACUAUUAGCUAGUUGGUGAGGUAACGGCUCACCAAGGCGACGAUAGUUAUCCGGCCUAAGAGGGUGAACGGACACAUUGGGACUGAGAUACGGUCCAGACUCCUACGGGAGGCAGCAGUGGGGAAUAUUGGGCAAUGGGGGAAACCCUGACCCAGCGACGCCGCGUGAGGGAAGAAGGUCUUCGGAUUGUAAACCUUUGUUAACAGGGACGAAACAAAUGACGGUACCUGAAUAGAAAGCCACGGCUAACUACGUG